UAGAGGAGGGUGAGGAAAAGCAUCUAAGAAGUUUGAUUCUAUGAGAUUCAGAGUUCUAAGCUGGAUCAAGACUUUUAUAAAUCCAAAUGGAUUAUUCUUAUAAGGCUGUGGUGUCCCCAUUCUUAACAAAGUGGUCUUUUAUAUAUGGGUGUGUACGUACUGUUGAAUCAUAAUCCUAAUAAGGGCUAAUUGUUUGAUUGAUUUGACCGUGCUAUGAUUCCUUUCAGUUUGGCUGGCAUCAACAAAAACACAGAGGAUUUACUUUCCAGGAAUUUUUCAUGUGCCUCCUCCUGGCACAGGAGCCUGUCCCAACACUGGACCCAUGGGAAAAACGAUGUUCAUUAAAAGGAAGAUGGGAGCAGACCCUGACCCAAUGGGACAAAGAAUGCUACUAUUAAUUUCAGCAAAGUAAAUACACAUUUCCCACAUGCUAAUUCAAGUAUACACACAUCUGAACUCAACCAUGGAAGCUGGUGGCAGACUGUUCAACCUUUGGGGUGAUGAUCUAUAGGACAUUGUUUGUAGGGUGAUUUGAUAAAUGUUGCAUGCAUUGAAAGGGAGCUGCCCACUUUGGAAAAACCUAACUCGAUAAAUUCAUCUUGGUUCUGAAUACAUGUUUUGAGCUCCUUUUUGUCUUGAACUGGACACUUUAGACUGUGUCCUUGAUGGAUCAGGAGGCACUGGAAUGGGGUAAGGGGAGAAAGAAUGUUUGCUGCUGGCCAGAUCUUCACAACAAGAUGAAGCUCAGGAGAUAUGAACUCUAAUUUUCCUCAUAUUACUUUUCAAUCUCUGAGGAAAGGAUUGGGAGGGCAUUCCAUGGUUAAUCUUUGUCUUUAUAAGGGACUAGGGGAUUCUGUCAUCAAUUAGGGAAGAUCAGUUUAAAAUGUCAAAACAUAAAGACUAUUGUAACUAGAGCACAUUGAAUACUUGUAUUUUUUUCUUAUAGUGGGAAUGUCUUUUUUUUUUCAAGAUUUUUUCGAGUUUAUUUAUCGAUUUUGAGAGAGUGGGGAGAGGCAGAGAGAGAGAAGGAGAAAGAGAGAGAGAAUCCCAAACAGGCUAUCAUUGUCAGCACAGAGCCUGACGUGGGGUUCAAAGUCAUGAAUGGUGAGAUCGUGACCUGAGCUGAAGUCAAAAGUCAGAUGCU
This is a long non-coding RNA of Acinonyx jubatus (cheetah), 1144 nucleotides long. RefSeq lists it as uncharacterized. The record is from RefSeq and is a predicted model, not a curated record. Lineage: Eukaryota; Metazoa; Chordata; Mammalia; Carnivora; Felidae. The transcript has 3 exons.